This 253-nucleotide ribosomal RNA is filed under the name uncultured bacterium. Its description in RNAcentral is "partial 16S ribosomal RNA". It matches the Rfam family "Bacterial small subunit ribosomal RNA", at positions 524 to 776 of the family's 1533-position model. The record is from RNAcentral.
UACGGGGGGGGCAAGCGUUGUUCGGAAUUACUGGGCGUAAAGGGCUCGUAGGUGGCCAACUAAGUCAGACGUGAAAUCCCUCGGCUUAACCGGGGAACUGCGUCUGAUACUGGAUGGCUUGAGUUUGGGAGAGGGAUGCGGAAUUCCAGGUGUAGCGGUGAAAUGCGUAGAUAUCCGGAGGAACACCAGUGGCGAAGGCGACUUCCUGGCCUGUUCUUGACGCUGAGGCGCGAAAGCUGGGGGAGCAAACGGG